GCACAACCCUGAAAUUCGAGGGGAUCAACUUCAUUUCGAGGAUUCAAUCAGUGACACCCGCAAAGAGGGGAAUGACGUCAUGCCGGUGCAUGACAGGCAGAACCCUCGACAGGUUCGGGAGACAACUCCCGAUGAUGCUGAUGAGGAGCAUGUCGUGGAUGCGGUAAGGGUCCUGCAAAAGCAAUAGGCGAUCAUUCUAGGCCAUCUUACACGGCAGGAUAAGGUUAUGACGUAGCUGAAGCAGGCGCUAUCGGGGGCUUCGAAUAAUGCAAAUAGACGAGAUCCAAUUCCUCCCGGUGUUCCUGCAAACCAAACAACGCAGAGAGUCGACAACAACACUCCCAGGGGUGAAGUUGGCUCCGACGGAGCUGGGGGAGCGGAUCCGGUCUCAACAACGAGAAUGACCCGUUCAAGAAUGAACUUUUACGAUUUAUGAGGGAAGUAAACGCCCGCAUGGAUCAAAUCCCGGGCGCGCCACCAGUAUUGAAAGGUCCGGACUCGAAGAAGUAUACUCAAUUGCCGUACAAGCCGAGUGCGGCACCAGAACUAAUCCCAAAGCGGUUCAAAAUGCCUGAAGUGCCAAAGUAUGACGGGACUUCAGACCCACAUGAGCAUAUUACCACCUACACAACGGCGGUAAAAGAAAAUGAUUUAGCUCCUCACGGAAUUGAAUCUGUGUUGCUAAAGAAAUUUGGAGAAAUUCUCACGAAGGGAGCUCUAACGUGGUAUUCAUUAUUACCCGAGCAUUCCAUAGAUUCCUUUGAGAUGCUCGCGGAUUCUUUCAUCAAGGCUCAUGCCGGGGCCAGAAAAGUACAAGCCCAGAAGGCCGACAUAUUCAGGAUCACACAGGGAGAAUCCGAAUUAUUACGAGAAGUUCGGUUACCCGAUUCUAGAAAGAAAGAAUGUUGCUCCCGGUUGUCCCGAAUGAAUGGGCAGUUGAAGCAUUCACCAAAGGAUUGAAUCUGAGAAGCUGAAGGAGAGCUGCUUGAGUUUCAAGCAACAACUUGGGCAGAUGUCCACAACCGGUACGAGUCAAAGAUAAGGAUCGAAGAUGACCAUGUCAGUUCUACAUCAUCGGCCAAAGGACGGGAGAAGAGCAGAGAAAAAUAAAAGGAUGACCACGACGCGGACAAACAGACUUCGAGGGGCCAGUUUUUACCUUACGAGAAGACCGAAGGCCGUGGCAGAAACUUCCGGGCAGCAAACAAGUUCACCAUUGA
Molecule: long non-coding RNA, 1220 nt
Filed under: Nicotiana tabacum (common tobacco)
Lineage: Eukaryota; Viridiplantae; Streptophyta; Magnoliopsida; Solanales; Solanaceae
Description: long non-coding RNA (NTAB_LNC009294)
Source: RNAcentral